RNAcentral lists this ribosomal RNA (869 nucleotides) under uncultured Peptococcaceae bacterium. Its description in RNAcentral is "bacterial SSU rRNA". It matches the Rfam family "Bacterial small subunit ribosomal RNA", at positions 291 to 1174 of the family's 1533-position model. The record is from RNAcentral. Lineage: Bacteria; Bacillati; Bacillota; Clostridia; Eubacteriales; Peptococcaceae.
CCUGAGAGGGUGAACGGCCACACUGGAACUGAGACACGGUCCAGACUCUACGGGAGGCAGCAGUGGGGAAUAUUCCGCAAUGGGCGAAAGCCUGACGGAGCAACGCCGCGUGAGGGAAGAAGGCCUUCGGGUUGUAAACCUCUGUUGUAUGGGAAGAAGGAUUGACGGUACCAUACGAGGAAGCCCCGGCUAACUACGUGCCAGCAGCCGCGGUAAUACGUAGGGGGCGAGCGUUGUCCGGAAUUACUGGGCGUAAAGGGCGUGUAGGCGGCAAACUAAGUUAGAGGUGAAAGAUUGGGGCUUAACCCCAAGAGUGCCUCUAAAACUGGUUAGCUUGAGUGCAGGAGAGGAAAGCGGAAUUCCUGGUGUAGCGGUGAAAUGCGUAGAUAUCAGGAGGAACACUCGUGGCGAAGGCGGCUUUCUGGCCUGCAACUGACGCUGAGGCGCGAAAGCGUAGGGAGCAAACAGGAUUAGAUACCCUGGUAGUCCACGCCGUAAACGAUGAGUGCUAGGUGUUGGAGGUAUCGACCCCUUCAGUGCCGUAGUUAACGCGAUAAGCACUCCGCCUGGGGAGUACGGUCGCAAGACUGAAACUCAAAGGAAUUGACGGGGGCCCGCACAAGCGGUGGAGCAUGUGGUUUAAUUCGACGCAACGCGAAGAACCUUACCAGGGCUUGACAUCCUCUGACCGAUCUAGAGAUAGGUAAUUCUCUUUUAGAGACAGAGAGACAGGUGGUGCAUGGUUGUCGUCAGCUCGUGUCGUGAGAUGUUGGGUUAAGUCCCGCAACGAGCGCAACCCCUACCGUUAGUUGCCAGCACGUAAAGGUGGGCACUCUGGCGGAACUGCCGUUGACAAAACGGAGGAAGGA